Molecule: transfer RNA, 74 nt
Filed under: Terapon theraps (largescaled terapon)
Lineage: Eukaryota; Metazoa; Chordata; Actinopteri; Centrarchiformes; Terapontidae
Description: tRNA-Leu
Rfam family: tRNA
About the family: Transfer RNA (tRNA) molecules are approximately 80 nucleotides in length. Their secondary structure includes four short double-helical elements and three loops (D, anti-codon, and T loops).
Source: RNAcentral
GUUGGGGUGGCAGAGCUCGGCAAAUGCAAAAGACCUAAGCCCUUUUUACAGAGGUUCAAAUCCUCUCCUUAACU